Molecule: ribosomal RNA, 515 nt
Filed under: uncultured bacterium
Lineage: Bacteria
Description: bacterial SSU rRNA
Rfam family: Bacterial small subunit ribosomal RNA
Source: RNAcentral
AGUUUGAUCCUGGCUCAGGAUGAACGCUAGCGGCAGGCUUAAUACAUGCAAGUCGAGCGGUAACAGGUGUAGCAAUACAUGCUGACGAGCGGCAGACGGGUGAGGAACGCGUACACAACUUCCCUCAAACUGGGGCACAACCUUGAGAAAUCAGGGCUAAUUCCCCAUAACAUUGCGAAAAGGCAUCUGAUUGCAAUUAAAGAUUCAUCGGUUUGAGAUGGGUGUGCGCCUGAUUAGCUAGUUGGUAAGGUAACGGCUUACCAAGGCAACGAUCAGUAGCUGGUGUGAGAGCACGACCAGCCACACGGGCACUGAGAUACGGGCCCGACUCCUACGGGAGGCAGCAGUAAGGAAUAUUGGUCAAUGGACGCAAGUCUGAACCAGCCAUGCCGCGUGAGGGAUGAAGGUCCUCUGGAUUGUAAACCUCAUUUAUCUAUGAAGAAAUGCCCGAUUUCUAUUGGGCCUGACGGUAAUAGAUGAAUAAGCACCGGCUAACUCCGUGCCAGCAGCCGCGG